CGUAGGGUGCGAGCGUUAAUCGGAAUUACUGGGCGUAAAGCGUGCGCAGGCGGUUUUGUAAGACAGAUGUGAAAUCCCCGGGCUCAACCUGGGACCUGCAUUUGUGACUGCAAGGCUAGAGUACGGUAGAGGGGGAUGGAAUUCCGCGUGUAGCAGUGAAAUGCGUAGAGAUGCGGAGGAACACCGAUGGCGAAGGCAAUCCCCUGGACCUGUACUGACGCUCAUGCACGAAAGCGUGGGGAGCAAACAGGAUUAGAUACCCUGGUAGUCCACGCCCUAAACGAUGUCAACUGGUUGUUGGGUCUUUACUGACUCAGUAACGAAGCUAACGCGAUAAGCAAUCCGCCUGGGGAGUACGGUCGCAAGGCUG
This 370-nucleotide ribosomal RNA is filed under the name uncultured organism. RNAcentral's name for it is "bacterial SSU rRNA". It matches the Rfam family "Bacterial small subunit ribosomal RNA", at positions 526 to 896 of the family's 1533-position model. The record is from RNAcentral.